GAUGAUAUUGCUUGUCAAAAUUUCUACCUGCUCAAGACUUGUGCAGAACUACGCACCCAAAUUCAUCAUGAUGCACACAACCAACACCUCUUACUGCAAUCGUGACGAAUCUGACCAUUCUUAUCACUGCAAUUGCCUCCACUGGUACGAAGGAAUCAAGUUACAAGGAAGCAUUGUACUUGAUAUCAACAAUCAGGAACACACAUUGGCUUUCAUU
RNAcentral lists this long non-coding RNA (217 nucleotides) under Daucus carota (carrot). RNAcentral's name for it is "long non-coding RNA (DCAR_LNC001610)". The record is from RNAcentral. Lineage: Eukaryota; Viridiplantae; Streptophyta; Magnoliopsida; Apiales; Apiaceae.